UACGUAGGGAGCAAGCGUUGUCCGGAAUCAUUGGGCGUAAAGAGCGCGUAGGUGGCUUUAUAAGUCCGUUGUGAAAGUCAAAGGCUCAACCUUUGAAAGCCGAUGGAUACUGUGAAGCUUGAGUCCGGAAGAGGCGAGUGGAAUUCCUGGUGUAGCGGUGAAAUGCGCAGAUAUCAGGAGGAACACCAAUGGCGAAGGCAGCUCGCUGGGACGGUACUGACGCUGAGACGCGAAAGCGUGGGGAGCAAACAGG
This 253-nucleotide ribosomal RNA is filed under the name uncultured bacterium. RNAcentral describes it as "partial 16S ribosomal RNA". It matches the Rfam family "Bacterial small subunit ribosomal RNA", at positions 524 to 776 of the family's 1533-position model. The record is from RNAcentral.